RNAcentral lists this ribosomal RNA (309 nucleotides) under Triticum aestivum (bread wheat). Its description in RNAcentral is "partial small subunit ribosomal RNA". The record is from RNAcentral. Lineage: Eukaryota; Viridiplantae; Streptophyta; Magnoliopsida; Poales; Poaceae.
AUGUGCCGGAACCUGACUUCUAUAUCGUCUAACUUCUGGUGGGGAGAAACAAAUGGGGAGAGGAAGGUGCACUGGCUUGCAUGGAAAAAGAUGUGCAGGGCAAAGAAAGAAGGAGGAAUGGGCUUUCAGGAUCCAUAAGCUUUUAACCAAGCUCUGCUGGCCAAACAAGCCUGGCGCGUGCUGCAGUACCCAGAUUCUGUUGGAAAUAUGGUGCUCAAGGCAAGGUAUUUCCCCCAUGGAUCAAUCUUGAAUGCUACCUGCCCUGCUGGCGGCUCGUUCACUUUCAAAAGUAUUAUUCAUGGUCGGGAG